UUAUGUGCAUGAUGCAUUGGUGAG
RNAcentral lists this non-coding RNA (24 nucleotides) under Arabidopsis thaliana (thale cress). Lineage: Eukaryota; Viridiplantae; Streptophyta; Magnoliopsida; Brassicales; Brassicaceae. The record is from RNAcentral.